Molecule: ribosomal RNA, 374 nt
Filed under: uncultured prokaryote
Description: bacterial SSU rRNA
Rfam family: Bacterial small subunit ribosomal RNA
Source: RNAcentral
UACGGAGGGUGCAAGCGUUGUUCGGAAUUAUUGGGCGUAAAGAGCGUGUAGGCGGUUUGGUAAGUCAGAUGUGAAAGCCCUGGGCUCAACCCAGGAAGUGCAUUUGAAACUGCCAUGCUCGAGUAUGGGAGAGGAGAGUGGAAUUCCCAGUGUAGAGGUGAAAUUCGUAGAUAUUGGGAGGAACACCCGUGGCGAAGGCGACUCUCUGGACCAAUACUGACGCUGAGACGCGAAAGCGUGGGGAGCAAACAGGAUUAGAUACCCUGGUAGUCCACGCCGUAAACGAUGAGAACUAGGUGUAGCGGGUAUUGACCCCUGCUGUGCCGCAGCUAACGCAUUAAGUUCUCCGCCUGGGGAGUACGGCCGCAAGGCUA